AAUUAAAAUUAUAAAAAUAAAUUAAAUUGCAAAUUUAAUAUUUAUAUUAAUUUUAAUAAUAUAUUUAUAAUUA
This 73-nucleotide transfer RNA is filed under the name Macrocentrus camphoraphilus. RNAcentral's name for it is "tRNA-Cys". Lineage: Eukaryota; Metazoa; Arthropoda; Insecta; Hymenoptera; Braconidae. The record is from RNAcentral.